This 427-nucleotide ribosomal RNA is filed under the name uncultured bacterium. RNAcentral's name for it is "partial 16S ribosomal RNA". It matches the Rfam family "Bacterial small subunit ribosomal RNA", at positions 355 to 774 of the family's 1533-position model. The record is from RNAcentral.
UAGGGAAUCUUCCGCAAUGGGCGAAAGCCUGACGGAGCAACGCCGCGUGAGUGAUGAAGGUCUUCGGAUCGUAAAACUCUGUUAUUAGGGAAGAACAAAUGUGUAAGUAACUAUGCACGUCUUGACGGUACCUAAUCAGAAAGCCACGGCUAACUACGUGCCAGCAGCCGCGGUAAUACGUAGGUGGCAAGCGUUAUCCGGAAUUAUUGGGCGUAAAGCGCGCGUAGGCGGUUUUUUAAGUCUGAUGGGAAAGCCCACGGCUCAACCGUGGAGGGUCAUUGGAAACUGGAAAACUUGAGUGCAGAAGAGGAAAGUGGAAUUCCAUGUGUAGCGGUGAAAUGCGCAGAGAUAUGGAGGAACACCAGUGGCGAAGGCGACUUUCUGGUCUGUAACUGACGCUGAUGUGCGAAAGCGUGGGGAUCAAACA